Molecule: ribosomal RNA, 229 nt
Filed under: uncultured bacterium
Lineage: Bacteria
Description: partial 16S ribosomal RNA
Rfam family: Bacterial small subunit ribosomal RNA
Source: RNAcentral
GAUCCUGGCUCAGGAUGAACGCUAGCUACAGGCUUAACACAUACAAGUCGAGGGGCAGCGGGAUUGAAGCUUGCUUCAAUUGCCGGCGACCGGCGCACGGGUGAGUAACGCGUAUCCAACCUUCCGUACACUCAGGGAUAGCCUUUCGAAAGAAAGAUUAAUACCUGAUGGUAUGAUGAGAUUGCAUGAUAUCAUCAUUAAAGAUUUAUCGGUGUACGAUGGGGAUGCG